AAAAAAUAGGACUACCUGAUCAAAUAUGUUAUGUGUAAUGCGUCUGUUUUGAGAAAAUCUAAGACAUCUUGCUCUUAUUUAUAACACAGUUGAUUUGGUGCUGUGCCUGCAUUGCAUUACAUUUUUGUACUGGGUUGCCGGUUUCUACACACCUGUUUACCUUGCAACUCUCUUCUGUAUAGAAGUUCUGUUGUUUCAUAAAAGCCCUAAAGUUGUGAGCCUCUAAAAAGGAAAAAUGACGAGAGUUAAUACAACUACAUUGUACACAUACGCACACACACCUACACACACGUCUUCUCUUCUCUGCGGCCAGUUCUUCAGCACACUACGGCAGACAUGAGGGGUUUGGGUUGCUCACUAACAUACAGCGCAAAGCGCAUCCAUAAUAAAAACCACUUCCUUCAGAUUUAGUGAGUAAUUCUAUUUUUCAUAACAAUAAAUCGCUCAUAAAUUUUUGCAAGGUUGCCAAGUUUGUGCUGAGGUGCACAAGGUGGACAUGUGCACUUACUAAGCAUGUCUGUGACACACAUUUAGAAAACAUGGAGGGAAUGUUCAACGGUGCCUGUGACAGCUGCCUGGGCCACAGCCAUUUCCCUCAAUUUGCAUCCAUCACCGGUCCUUUUACAGUGCUUUCUUGGAAAAGGUACGAUGGGAUAUCCUCACUGGACGUAAGAGCUUACUCCGUGGGGAACAUUUGGCACAAUCAAUCUUGUUACUAAUUAGUCAUAAUAUUUGCUCUGGUCCCCACAAAUGGAAGCCUGUACUUGGGACUGGAACUUCCAUUAUCACAUGACGAUACCACGGUUGACCCAUUAUGUGCAUGUACAGUUUUUCUUGUUUAGGUGUCUGCGUGUGUGAGUCUGCUUGUGAGUGUGUGUGCUUCGGAGUUUGUGCGUCACAGAUCUCAGAGCAAAUAAAUCAUUCAUGGAAGCCUGUUCUUUUGUUUGAAACAAGACUGAUGUGGUUGUGACUGAUCUGAUUCUUUUGGCAUUUCUUUGCUACGAGUUCAAAACAAAGUGAAAUAGCAGAGUGAAACCAUGGAAGCUUUCGAAAGGGCCUUGAGGCCUCCGCUCAAACUGUUAUGUGUUAUUCAAAAUACAUGUAAUAUAAUGCAUUAGAUGACUCGUGUUUAAUAACUCAAGUUUCAUGGUCGUCCAUUUCACUCUGGGUUAUUUCGAUUUCAGAAACUCUAUCAAACCAAGAUGAUUAUUUGCCUGAAUCCCCCCUUCUGACAAUGGACCGCAAAGCUCCAAUUAUUCAAUGGUUCUAAGGAAUUUCUUGCAAACAAAAUCCUUGAUACUUAAUGUCGCAAGUAAAUACAACCUUUGCCAGUUAGACAGAGUGCAGGAUUCUGUUUGGAACCUCUGAUAUGUAAUGUGAGUGAGUUUAGCAAAUAAUAGGGAAGGCAGAAUAGAGAGAUAUAAAGACUGUUCACGGUCGGCUCGGUGAUGGUAAAGUGUCACAGGUCAACCAGUAGAAUAGACCUAUCUAUUAUGCCUUUGCUGUGCUAUUGUAUUUAUUGGCGAGUCUAUACAGGAUAUCCUGUUAUAAUUAUUUUCAAAAUGCGGUACUGGCUCCAGCUUUCACUGAUUUCAUUCAUGCAUCACAAUCCCUGACUUAUUCUUCAGCUGUUUGGUGCCAGUUGACUAAUCCUAUUCAAGCAGAUGUACAGCACAUUACAUUAUACUAAUUCUCAUUAUUGCUACAGCAUGUUGAUGCUCUCUGUAGCUGUGAUGUUUGUCUUUGAGGGUUCCAUCAAACAGCAUAGCUGAGGGUACAAGCAUUGCUCUGAAUGUUUAAGUCUUUUAGUUAUGAAAGGUUCAUAACGAGCCUCCUCAAAAGUGAGGGACUUGUUCCAGGACAAUUUAAAAUGACAGCGUUUAAACUGUAAAAUUAACAUUUUGGGCCCUUUUUUGGACUAAAAAAA
Gasterosteus aculeatus aculeatus (three-spined stickleback) is the source of this 1927-nucleotide long non-coding RNA. Lineage: Eukaryota; Metazoa; Chordata; Actinopteri; Perciformes; Gasterosteidae. The record is from Ensembl.